RNAcentral lists this ribosomal RNA (406 nucleotides) under uncultured bacterium. RNAcentral's name for it is "partial 16S ribosomal RNA". It matches the Rfam family "Bacterial small subunit ribosomal RNA", at positions 29 to 526 of the family's 1533-position model. The record is from RNAcentral.
AUUGAACGCUGGCGGCAGGCCUAACACAUGCAAGUCGAACGAGUGGCGGACGGGUGAGUAAUGUCUGGGAAACUGCCUGAUGGAGGGGGAUAACUACUGGAAACGGUAGCUAAUACCGCAUACCAUCGGAUGUGCCCAGAUGGGAUUAGCUAGUAGGUGGGGUAAAGGCUCACCUAGGCGACGAUCCCUAGCUGGUCUGAGAGGAUGACCAGGCACACUGGAAUGGAGAAACGGUGCGGAGGCCUACGGGGGGCAGGAGUGGGGAAUAUUGCACAAUGGGAGGAAGCCUGAUGCAGAAAGGCGGCGUGGAUGAAGAAGGCCUUCGGGUUGUAAAGUACUUUCAGCUGGGAGGCGUUACCCGCAGAAGAAGCACAGGCUAACUCCGUGCCAGCAGCCGCGGUAAUAC